This 463-nucleotide ribosomal RNA is filed under the name uncultured bacterium. RNAcentral's name for it is "partial 16S ribosomal RNA". It matches the Rfam family "Bacterial small subunit ribosomal RNA", at positions 28 to 507 of the family's 1533-position model. The record is from RNAcentral.
GACGAACGCUGGCGGCGUGCUUAACACAUGCAAGUCGAACGGAAAGGCCUUUUCGGCGGUACUCGAGUGGCGAACGGGUGAGUAACACGUGGGUGAUCUGCCCUGCACUCUGGGAUAAGCCUGGGAAACUGGGUCUAAUACCGGAUAGGACCGCACUUUAGUGUGUGUGGUGGAAAGUUUUUUCGGUGUAGGAUGAGCCCGCGGCCUAUCAGCUUGUUGGUGGGGUAAUGGCCUACCAAGGCGGCGACGGGUAGCCGGACUGAGAGGUUGGUCGGCCACAGUGGGACUGAGAGACGGCCCAGACGCCUACGGGAGGCAGCAGGGGGGAAUAUUGCACAAGGGGCGCAAGCCUGAUGCAGCGACGCCGCGGGGGGGAGGACGGCCUUCGGGUUGUAAACGCCUUUCGCCAGGGACGAAGCGUUUUGUGACGGUACCUGGAGAAGAAGCACCGGCUAACUACGUG